This is a long non-coding RNA of Loxodonta africana (African savanna elephant), 20228 nucleotides long. RefSeq lists it as uncharacterized. NCBI's taxonomy places the organism in Eukaryota, Metazoa, Chordata, Mammalia, Proboscidea, Elephantidae. The transcript has 3 exons. The record is from RefSeq and is a predicted model, not a curated record.
GGAAUUCCUGCCCAGCAGCAGGAGCAGAGCCGGGUUCCUCCCGGCCUGCGGCCCCCCGAAAACUCCGGCCCUGCGACGCCGGGCUGGGCCCCACCUGUGGAUUCGCGCCGGCUUCUGCCUCCUCCCCGGCCCCUCGAGCCGCAUCCAUGCGCCUGGUGCUACCUGGGUGCCUACUGUGUGCCAGACCCCAGCCAGAAACUGGGGGAACCGGUGAGCAUCGCGACCCCCGCUCGGCUUGCAUUGUGCUGGGCCAGACAGACGUUCAUCAAAUUAUCACACAGCAUUAAUGUAUAAUUAGGGAGUCUCAGUGGGGGACUGAGGAGCCCUGGUGGCACAAUGGUUAAGUGCUGGGCUGCUAACCGAAAACCGGGCGGUUUGAACCCACCAGCUGCUCCGCAAGAGUAAGACCUGGCAAUCAGCUCCUGUAAAGAUGACAGCCUAGGAAACCCCAUGGGGCUGUUCUGCUCUGUCCUAUAGGGUCGCUGUAAGUCGGAAUCAACUUGAUGGCACCUAACAACACCAACAAUGGGAGACCAGCCUCGGCCUGCAGAUCGGGGAAGGUGUCUCUGAGGACCUGAAGGACAUAACCUGGUGAAGGGGUCUAGGCGGGAGGGGUGGAGUGAAGAGGGCAUCCCAGGUCAAGAGAUCUUGAGUGAGAGACCUCAGAGACGUGUACAAGAAUAUCCACACCAGUCCGUAAUAACCAACACCCCAAGGCCCGCCCACAGGUGGAUGGACAAAUAAAGUGGUCUGUUCACACUGUGGAGCUCUGGCGGCACAGUCGUUAAGCAUUUGGCUGCUAACCAAAAGGUUGACAGUUUGAAUCCACUAGCCUCUCUUUGGAAACCCUAUGGGGCGGUUCUACUCUGUCCUAUCGGGUGAUAAUGAGUUGAGAAUCAAUUGGACGCCAAUGGGUUUGGUUUUUUUUUUUUAAUUCAUACUGUGGAAUAUUACACAGCAGUGAAAUUGAAUGAACUUCAGCUACACACAACAGGGAUGCAUCUCAGAAGAAGCGCUGAGUGAAAAAUUAAGUUUCAGAAAACUGCAUGCUCUGUGGGACAAUUUUUAGAAUAUCUAAAAGCAAAACCAAAUAGCAUGCAUGCUUAGACCCAUGCAUUAGUGAAAAAAAAAUUUUUUUUAAGCAAGGGAAAGAUAAACACAAAUAUGGGACUGGUUAUUUCAGGAGUAGGUGGGGAGUGGAGGGGAGGGGGAGGAAAAUAGAGAUACUUUCAAGUCAUUGGUCAUGUGCCAGUACUUGGGUGAGCGGGAGGAUUUCCUGGGUGUUUACUACAGUAUAAAUAAACACCAAUAAACAAGGGAGAAAGAGAAAGUGGGAAGAGUGGAGGGCCAGGGGCUGGGAAGUGGAUCACGUAGGGCCUGUGGGACACCGUUAGAGUUUGUUUUUUCCCUGAGGGCUCUGGACAAUCAGUGGAGGGUUUCAGGUAGAGGCAAGUAGAGGUCAGACUUGUAUCUGGAAAAAAAAUACCCUCCAGCUACUGAAAGCAUGAACUGGUAACUAAGGACAGCAACGUUAUCUGGGAGUUGACUGGAAAUGCAGAGGCUCAGGCCUCGCCCCAGACCUAGGGAACCAAAUUCUGUAUUUUGAGAUCUCCAGGUGGCUUGUGUGCACAUUGCAGUUUGAGAAUGGCCGGUCUCUGUUGUGAGGACAAGAGGAGGGCCUUGCAAAGGGGCCAGAGGGAGCACGGGAGACCAGGAAGCAGGUAACUGCAGCAGUCCUGGGAGGAGUUGGUGGGGGUAGUAGGGACGUGGGGAGAAUCAAACCGAUUCAAGCUAAUUUAGGGGGCACAAUCAGCAGGACUUGGAACUGGAUAACAUGUGGAAGUGUGGGAGAAAGCAGAUCAAAAGUGACCCUUCCAAGACAUUGUCCACACUGCCACAGUGUCAUAGCUAGAGCAGAGCUAUAUAUAUAUAUGUGAUGGCACUGUGGUUAAGAGCUAUGGUUGCUAACCAAAAGGUCAGCAGUUCAAAUCCACCAGCCACUCUUUGGAAACCAUAUGGGGCAGGUCUACCCUGUCCUAUAGGGUCACUAUGAGUUGGAAUUGAAUUGUUGCCAAUGGCUUUUUAAAAAAUUUAUCUAUAUGUAAUUUAUUUUCUAUUUUGUUGUUGAGAAUAUACACAGCAGAAAUACACCAAUUCAACAGUUCCUAUUCAGUGACAUUAAUUACACUCUUUAAGUUGUACAACCAUUCUCACCUUCCUUUUCUGAGUCGUUCUACUCCCAUUAACAUAAACUCACUGCCUCCUAAGUUUUCCGUCAAAUCUUUCAAGUUGCUGUUGUCAAUUCGAUCCCAUAUUGAUAGAUCUUGAAAGAGCAGAAUGCUCAAGGCAGACAUUGUUUACUGGUUAAGCUAAACUAUUGUUUGGUUUUAAGAAAACCUCAGGUACUAUUUUUGGUUUAAGGUUUAAAGAUUAUCUCAGGGCAGUAGUUUCAGGGGCUCAUCCGGGGGCUCCAGAAAUGCUGGAUUCAAUGAGAAUUUGAAAUUGUGUUCUAUGUUUUCCCCGUUUUGAUCAGUAUUCUUUUAAAGAAUCUUUGAUCAAAAUGUUCAGUAAUGAUAGCCGGACAGUACUCUGUUCUUCUGAUCUUAAGCAAAAGAAGCAGGUGUUCAUGGAGGCAGUUAGCCACACAUUCCAUUUUCGCAGAGGAAAGUUUUUUUGUAAGGCCCUUUCCUGGCUCCCCAUGUCACUCAGGAUAGAUCACAGCUGCCAUUUAUUGAGCUCACACUUAGAGCCAGAGACUCUGGGAAGUGCUUUUUAAGCAUCAUCGCAUUUACUCUUCAGGGCAAUACUGUGAGGUAGGAACUGUUUUUGUUUUACAGAUGAGAACACUGAGCCUGCUUGGCACACGGGUUGUUAAGUUGCAGAGCUGGGAUUUGAAUUUCGAUCUGAUUCUAGAACCUCCACUUUCCACCUUAGUAGCAUCUCUCCUACCUCUGCCUUGACAGUUAAGUCCCCCCUGUAGUGUCAGCCCCAUGCCUUCCUAGCACAUUCCUGAAAUGCUGGUCAACCUGUAUGACUUGCUGGUGGAGGCUGAUGAAAGGUGAACACAAGUUUUUUUGCUAUUCCUCCCCUUGAAUCUGGGCUGGCCUUAGUGACUUGCUUGACUAAUAGAACAUUGUAGAAGUGACAGUCCCGGACUUCUGAGCCUAGGUCAUAAGAAGCCUUGCAGUUUGCAUGGGUGUCUGUCCCUCAGAACAUUCUCUGGGAGCUGUGAGCCACUAUGGAAGAAGUCUACCUUGAGACCACCAUGCUGGAGGAGUCCUGUGGCACAGUGGUUAAGAGCUCUGCUGCUUACCAAGAGGUCGGCAGUUCAAAUCCACCACCUGCUCCUUGGAAACCCUAUGGGGCAGUCCUCCUCUGUCCUAUAGGGUCGCUAGGAGUCGGAAUCACUCUACAGCAAUGGGUUCAGUUUUGGGUUUACCAUGCUGGACAGCUGAGACCACCAUGCUAGAAAGUCCACAUGAAGUCUCUCUGGUUAGAGAGUCCAGCUGAGCCUAGUCUUUUGGCCGUCCCCACAAAGACACUAAACAUGUGACUGAAGCCAUCUUGGGCCCUCUAGACCAGACCAGCUGGCAGCCAAAUACCACGGUCAAUGUCAUAUGGAACAGAGGAAUUACUCGGCUGAGGCCAGCCCAAAUUCCUGACCCACAAAAUUGGGAUGCAUAAUAAAAAGGUUGUUAUUUUAGGCCACUAUAUUUUGGGGUAGAUUGUUAAGCAGCAGUAGAUCAUAGGAAGCCUAACUCCCACCUCCCCACCCCCUCCAGCCUCUGCACCUUAGUUUAUUCCAUCCUGUUACCCAGAAAAGCCUCUUAUCAGAUCCUGGGCUAUCAAACCCACCAGCCGCUCCAUGGGAGAAAGAUGUAGCAGUCUGCUUCUGUAAAGAUUACAGCCUUGAAAACCCUAUGGGGCAGCUCUACUCUGUCGUAUAGGGUCACUAUGAGUUGGAAUCGACCCGACAGCAGUGGGUUUAUUGGUUUUGGGGAUAUUAAAACCUAUUUUCCAGGCAGGCCAUAUACAAAGGAAAAUAACCAGGCUGGGCCCAGAUGCAAGUCUUCUGUUUGCCCGUCCAGAGGCAAUCCCACUUCUGCUCCUGCUUGGUGCCAGGCAGACUGACUUCUAUGGAUAACAUCAGUGGGCCCUGUUGUCCUCUGGCUUCUGGUUGGGUUUGGUCCAUUAGUGGCACUGGCAGGAGAUCAGAGGGCAGGAGGAGAGAGACGUUGGUUGUUUAUUCCCUUGACUCCCUCUUGGCACAGUCGCAGGGUGGACUGUGUUUCUACCCAGGCCAUAGUUACCAGCGCGUGGUCCUCUCCAUACCAGCCCCUCUCCAGCUUCUGUCAUCUAUCCUGCCUCUUCCUCUUCAGGCCUAGAGAUGGCAAUAGCUCCUCUCAUUACUAGCCCCUGGGCACUGCACCACCCUGUGUUGCCUUCAUUAAACUCUGCUGUCUUGAAAAUGAUACUGGUGAGGAGUGAGCUUCUUGGAUCAAGUAGGCACAUGAGACUAUGUGUGUAGUUCCUGUCUGGAAGGGAGAUGUGAAGGCUGAGGAGGACAGAAGUUGGCUGAAUGGACAUGGAAAUACAGGGUGGAGAGAAGGAGUGUGCUGUCUCAUUGUGGGGACAGCAACUAGGGGUAUAUAAAAAAGCAAGGUGUAUAUAAGGUUUUGUAUGAGAGACUUGACUUCAUUUGUAAACUUUCACUUAAAGCACAAUAAAAAUUUUUUCUAAUUAAAAAAAAAACUCUGCUGUCUUAGUUAGGGUUCCCCCAGAAGCAGAUCAAGAGUCAAGGAUUUGAGUACAAGUAGUUUAUUCCUUGGGGAGGGAGUGGGGGUUCAGUGGUAGAAUUCUCAUCUUUCCUGAGGGAGACAAGGGUUUGAUUCCUAGCCAAUGCACCUCGUACUCAGCCACCACCCAUCUGUCAGUGGAGACUUGCUGUGGCUAUGAUGCUGAACAGGUUUCAGUGGAGCCCCCAGACUAAGAUGGCCUAGGAAGAAAGGCCUGGUGACCUACUUCUAAAAACCAGCCAGUGAAACCCUAUGGACGCAAUGGUCUGAUCUGCAACCAAUCAUGGGGGUAGCAGAGGACUGGGCAGCAUUUCAUUCUGUUGUGCGUGGGGUUGCCAUCAGUUGGGGGCCAACUUGACAGAAGCUAAAAAUGACAGCAGCUUAUUCAGGAAGAGAUCCUGGGAAACACAGGAAGGGGAAUGGAGACUGGAGGCAGAGGAAUGAAGGAAGCCAAUGGGUGGGUUACCACAUUGGGCACCUGAAGCUCAGUCCCCCUGGGGAAUUCUGGGUAGUGAUGUAGAAUAUGUCUCAAGUUAACUCACCUGAGGGCUGAGGAAGCUGGGGGAUGUGUCCGCCAAUCUACCACUGGCUGCUUCCAGGACAUUAACUUCCUGGCACUCUUAGUUUAUUCAACACACUGACUGAGCUUGUCCCCAUGGCUAGGGGGGAAAAAAAACCCAGCAGAGAGAGAAUGUCACAAGAACUAGCAGUAAGUAGCUGUUGCCACAUAGAGGUGAUGCUCAAAGGGUCUGGGAAGGUCACUGACCACUCUACCUGCCCACACCUUUGUAAAUAAGUCCUUUUGAAAACUCUCCUCAGUUACUCAGUUUUAGUGUGCCACUUGCUUCCUGCCAAGGCCCUGGGUGAUACAAGCUGGUCUUGAACUUCUCCACAACAAUGCUGGAGUCUAGACCACAGUGGGCUAGUGUCUACUGGGAGUUGGAGGUGGGAUGGAGAAGGGUACAUCCUCAAAAUGCAUUGUCCACUUUCUUAGUCAUCUAGUGCUGCUGUAACAGAAAUACCACAAGUGGAUGGCUUUAACAAACAGAAGUUUAUUCUCUCAUAGUUUAGGAGGCUAGAAGUCCAAAUUCAGGGCGCCAGCUCCAGGGGAAGGCUUUCUGUCUCUGGUGGACACUGGGAGGAAGGUCCUUGUCAUCAGUUUUCCCAUGGCCUAGGAGCUUCUCUGCACAGGGACCCCGGGUCCAGAGGACAUGCCCUUACUCCUGGCACUGCUUUCUUGGUGGUAGGAGGUCCCCAUGUUUAUCUGCUGGCUUCUCUCUUUUAUAUUUCAAAAGAGAUUGAUUUAAAACCCAACCUAAUCCUAUAGAUUGAGUCCUGCCUCAUUAACAUAACUACCGCUAAUCCCACCUCAUUAACAUCAUAGAGGAAGGAUUUACAGCACAUAGGAAAAUCACAUCAGAUGACAAAAUGGUGGACAAUCACACAAUACUGGGAAUCAUGGCCCAGCCAAGUUGGUACACAUUUUUGGGGGACACAAUUCAAACCAUAACAUCACAGCACAUCACUUGUGUGCAGACGACAGAGAUACAGUCUCAGACAUGUGGGAAUUCCAGCUCUGUAGUAACCUUCCUGAAAUAUCUAGUUCAAGACAUAAUCCAGACAACGAAAAAAGGAGUCGAAACAGAGAAGGAAUGGGGAUAUUGCAGUCUGCAAAAUGACUUAUAAAAAAAUUCCAGUUAAAAUAUAGCAUUGGUAACUUAGUGCUACAUUAAAGAAUGUAAUUGUUCAAAGUUGUGAAGGGGAAGACUACAAAAUGGGGAAAAAAUCCGACUUCCAAGGCAGAUGUUAGAGUGAGCUAGCUCUUGUAACACAUAGAAUGUCACAAAUACCUGACAAAUAGACUCGAAAUAUGGUUCUUGCACACGUAGCGAUUUGGGGUGGGCUACCCUCCUCCACACAGUCCUGGCACUCAGUCUGUGGCAAGCUCUGCCACCCAUAACGUGUAAGUCUCAGUGUUGCCUAAGGUCACCCGGGCCACCAUCUUUAUUUCAGCCAGUUGGAAGAGAAAGAGUAUGAAGAAAUAUUUGGGUCCAGGCUCGGAAGUGGCACACAUUAUUUCGGCCCACAUCCCAGCUCUGUCACGUGGCCACACCAAAUUGCAGGGGUAACUGGGAAAUGUAGUCCAGCCAUGUGCCCAGGAAGAAGAGGAGAGCAUGGACUGGGAGUCUUCCUCUGAAACUUAGAGCAAAGGGUUCAGACAUUGAGAGUUGCAAACUCAAGUGCUGACAGGGCAGGUGUGGAACGCAGACGGCCUGGAGUCACAGGUCCACCACUUACAGCAUUGUGACUUUGGUCUUUCCAGAGAAUGACCUUCCUGUCUCCUGCCAUGGUGAGGAAGUGGUCACGUCCUGACUGUGCCAGCUGGAGUAACAGACCUAGAAGUCCAACUGUCCGCAAAUUGAUAAUCCACCAGCCCUUCUGUUUUCAGUCCUACCCUAUAUCUGGGUCUUCGGAGGCUCCUGGACACUUGCUGAGGGUCUACAGGUUGCCUUGUUUCCUGAUGGCUCCCCUUGAGAACAGUCAGGUUCAGCUUCUCAGGUUUACUUCUCAGUCCCCCUCACCAUCUUCUUUCCAACUUGUGGAAUUUGGUUGAACUCUGUCCUCUACUAUUGCCUCUUCAUGUGUUCUCUUUGUCCCAGUGAGUAGGUUCAGGGGUGGAUUACCCAGUAAGCAAGGUAAGCACAGGCUUACUUGUACUUACUAAUUUCACAUGGGUUUCAUCUUGCCUUGUCUGUUGGAUAAUCUGUCCCUGAGCCAGGGGCACUUUUCUGUCCUGCCUGCCCAGCCCCAUUCCUGCUUCUCAAGGCAGGGGCUUUGCCUCACUCGUCUGUGUGCCUAGACAGGACUGGGCAGGUCUCUAGUAUGUGGACCAGGCCCCUGGACAGUGGCAUGGCUCGUUCCUGAGAAGUCAGAUUUGGGCUUUAUGGAGUGAACACUCCAAGAUGGAGGUGGGAGCCAGUCCUUUCUAAAUUGGAACAUCAGAGUAAAUCUCCCCCCAAAGUAUAUUCCUGCUGUAUUUAUAACGGAGUUCAAAGUCAAUGCUCAAGAAGAAGUCCCGGUAGAGCCACACUUGUCCUUGCAAACAUCUUAGGAAGGUGCGAGUUGCCAACAGACACCAUCUUUCAGUAAAUCCAUCACAGCCAACGUUCCUUGGAGUCUCCUCUCUGAGUCUUGGUCAAGUGCCUGUUGGAGACACUGGUUUGGAUGGAGAAGCUGAGUUGUAGGAACAACGUGCACCUUCAGAUCCGAGUAUCCCCUUCUGUGGUUCAUAACGCUCAUAGGAGAAAGAGGCACGUGGUCCCCAAGAACCAAGGUGGCCGGCUAUCCCAAUUUGCAGGACUUUCAGUGCUGAGACUAGGAUAGUCCUGACUCUAAAGCAUAGAUGAGAAGUGUAGGUGUGCUGUGCAAUAUAUUGCUUUUGUGUGGCCUUUCUCACCAAGGUCUUGUAACUCCCACCCAAGUGAUUGGGUCGGUCUGUGCAAAUAAGGUAAUUGUGGCCCACCAAGGAGAUUGAUCAGUUUUGCCAUCCCACUAGGCUUAAAAUGAGCCAUCCCAGAAAUGGGAAGGGAGGAUCUUCUACCACCAAGAAAGAAGAGCCAGGAGUUGAGUGUGUCUUUGGAACCCGGGAUCCCUGAGCUAAGAAGCUCCUGGAACCAGGAGACCGAGAGAGAGAGCUGUAACAGAGAAGACCAUGAGCAGUGGCAAAGAAACAGCGGCAGCAGAACCAGCAGACCUGCAGGAGACGGCCCAGCUCACAAAGCGAGAAAGCUGAGCAUCUUCAGGCAGAGGCUUACUGGCAGAGUGGCGUGCCAUGGGGCACUUAUUAGCUGAGCUAAAAGAGCUUUGUAACACUUGCCUGAGCGGGACAGAGGCCAAGGGGCCAGGGCAAGGGGUGUCUGCAGGUACAGCUGGGAAGAGACUGUCCUGAUGGAAGAACUGUAUCCUGAGCACUCCUGAACCUGGAUUGUAACCUGUUCCUUCCCUAAUAAACCUCAUAAUUGUGAGUAUUGCCUGUGAGUUCUGUGAGACCAUUACAGUGAAUUAUUGAACUCAGUGGAGAAGUAGGGAAUGCCAUGGGAGGGGAGGUUGGUGUCAGAAUUGGUAAAGAUGAUGGAGAGAGGAGGCAUGUCUGAUCUUUGCUUCACAGGAAUCAGCCUUUGGCUGAAUCUGAUGGUGAUUCUCUCUCCCCCUUCUGAAGUUAGCGGAGGUCAGACGCUGUUCCCACGCCAUUUUGUACAAGGGGAUAGUGAGCAUAAGUCAACGGUGGUGAAAAAAUAUGGGUAGAGAUAGUGAGAACCUUGACACAAUGUGAAGAAUGUAACCAAUGUUAUUGAAUUGUACAUGUAGAAAUUGAUGAGUGGGUGCAUGUUCUCUGUGUAUAUCUUCACCAAAAUUAAAAUUAAAAGUCCUGGAUAGUCCUGGGGAAACAGGACUGGUCGGUCACCUGUAAUGGCAGGUUUGCUCCUCACCCACCCUCCUGGGCAUGCACUCAUGGCACACACAGCUUAAAUGCUGAUUCCCAGGUGUUUACCACCCCUACUCCCACCUGUCUAGCACCUCUAAACAAGGCAGAUGGCGGAGGCAUUAAGGGUGUGAGCUCCAUCAAGAGACAGAAAGGGCCACAUAAACCAGAGACUCCAUCAGCCUGAGACUGGAAGAACUAGAUGGUGCCCUGCUACCACCAGUGACCGCCCUGAUAGGGAAUACAACAAGAGUCCCUGAUGAAGCAGGAGAAAAGUGGGAUUCUAGUAAAAAGACCAGACUUAAUGGUCUGGCUGAGACUGGAGUGACCCCAGAAGACACGGCCUGCAGACUCUCUGUUAGCCCAAAACUAAAACCAUUCCUUAAGCCAACUCUUCAGACAAAGAUUAGACUGGACUAUAAGACAUAAAAUGAUACUGGUGAGCAGUGUGCUUCUUAGCUCAAGUAGACACAUGAGACUAUGUGGGCAGCUCCUGUCCCGAGGUGAGAUGAGAAGGCAGGGGGGACAGGAACUGGUUGGAUGGACAUGGGAAAUACAGGGUAGAGAGGAGGAGUGUGCUGUUACAUUGUAGGGAGAGCAACUAGGGUCACAGAACAAUGUGUGUACAAGAUUUUAUAUGAGAAACUGACUUGAAUCUUAAACUUUCACUUAAAGCACAACACAAGAAAAAAAGAGUGUGGGCUUUGAAACCAGGGUACCUGGAACAAGUUGGGCCCAAACCCCAGCUCUAACACUCACCAGCCAUGUGUCUCUGGGCAAGUCACUUCACCUCUCUCUGCCUCAGUUUCUUCAUUUAUAAAAUGGAAAGAAGGAGAUGGUGUACUCCGUAGAAUUGUUGUAAGAAUCAAGUGAAUUAAUAGCUGUAAAGUACUUAGAAUAGUGUCUGUCAUGGAACAAGUUAUACGGGCCACAAUCCCUUAUCUGAAACCCUAUCCCCAAUGUGCUUUGGGAUUUGGGGGAGUUUGGGGAUUUUGGAAAGCACGCACCGUAUGUUAUAUAUAUAUAAAACGUACCAGUGGUAAAAAAGAAAAAAAAAAUUUUUUUUUUUUGGUCUGGGUUAAUAGCCCAUAAUUAAACAUACUAAUAUUUCUACAGACAAAAAGGUGUGUGAAUAUCCAUACAUCUGUUUGGGUUAGGGUUUUGCCACUAAAUGAAGUGUGGUACUAAAAUUCAUUUUUUCUAGACUUCUUGGCUCUCAGAAUUGCAGGUAAGGGAUUGUAAACUUGUGUAAGUGUUUGCUUUUGUUAUCGUCUCAUGAAUGCCAGGUGUAGGUGACACAUAAUCGCUUCUUGAAGACAAUUCAGAGUUUUUGUGCCUAAGGGCCACUUGGACUCUUGGAGUUUUCCACUUGGGCCCUUUUGCACCAACAGCUCUGAACCACCCUGGAGGGCUGGAGGAAAGACUCUUCUUUUUUUAUCCAGGCCCACCAUUUAGUGUUUUCUUCAGGUUCUUUCCAAUGCGGUGGGGGGAGUAGGGAGGACUGGGGUGAGUUGCAAAUUCAACUCUCCAAGAGCCUUUCCCAGUGCGAGGCUAGGGAUUGAGGUUUCCACCAGUGUGGGAGGCGGUAAGCUCUGCGGAAGUGAUGAGCAAGCCGAGUUUCUGGCAAAGCUGCUGGGGGUCCGGGCCAUGGUCUGGUCUGGGCAGCUGAGAUACUAGAGCCAAAGAAGCAUCCGCGGCCCCUCGGCAGCCCCUGGGGGUCCACAAAGGAACAUCUCCAUGGCAGAUGCUUCGGCACUUGCAGAAAAGAGGACUCAGAAGGGAAUUCUGAGAGCUUAUUCAGUUGGGGUGUGUGUUUGCUCUGAGCACUCCAGGAAAUGCCUGCUUCAGUAGGUGCUCAUGGGAUUUGGGGAUUAUGGUGGCUAUAAAGGGGGAAGGAGAACCCCGUCCCCCGACUGCCUGCAGCAUAGCCCUGUGAGAGGCCUCACGUGGAACCCACCUCCCCACAGUUCACGGAGCCCACUUCCAGCCCUCCCCAACCCAGGAAUUACUGGCCUAGCUGCCUCAACAUAGGAUUAUUUUGCAAAUACAUUUCUUUUGAGAUUUGACUAUUUGAGUUAAAAAAUGGUUCUUGAUUCUCGUCAGUGAAAUUUUAGCAGUUAAAGACAUAGGCCCUAUAAGUUGUACACCUGUAAAACGUUGAAUUGGCAAAAGUUGUGUGAUAGAUGUACUUACAAAAAAGAAAAAAAAAGAGUAGCUGCUGAGGGUGCUUAUGUACAACCAAACACCUCAUGGGAUUAGGUUCCUUUGGAGAUUUAGGGUCAUGGUUUCAUGGGACAUCCCAGUUAACUGGCCUAAUAAUGUGUUUAGUGCUUCUGUUCUACCUCCUAGUUAGUUGCAUAGUGCCUGGGGUCUUAAAAGCUUGCAAGCAGCUAUCCAAGGCAUAAUUGGUCUCUAUUCACCUGGGGCAACAGAGGAAGAAGGAGAGUCAGGAAUAGGAAGAAGAAAUGAAAUGUGUGUCUAAUUGCUUCCAUGAACUGCCCCAUUUGCCAUGAGACCAGUAGAACUAUAUGGUGCCUGGCUACCAUUACUGAACAUUUUGUUCAAAGAUUCUAUAUAAGAAUUCUGAUCAAAAAGAGGGAAAAGCAGAACAGAAUUUCAAAUUCUCAUGGAAUCCAGACUUUCUGGAGCCAUGGAGACUGGAUGAACCCCUGAAACUAUUGCCCUGAGAUAAUACAAAUAUCUUCCUGAAGUCUUCUUAAAACCAAACAAUAGCUUAGUUUAACUAGUGAAGAAUGUCUGCCUUGAGCAUUGUGCUCUUUUAAGAACUAUCUCUAUGGGAUCAAAGUGACAACAGCAACUCAAAGAAGUAGAUAGGAACAGUAGAGGGCAGUGAGUUUAUGUUAAUGGGGGAGGAACAACUCAGAAAGAGGGUGAGAAUGGUUGCACAACUCAAAGAAUGUAAUCAAUGUCAUUAAUUGGACAUGUAGAAACUGUCGAACUGAUGUAUGUUUUGCUGUGUAUAUUCUCAACAACAACAACAACAAAACAAAUAAAAUUAAAAAAAAAAAAAGAAGACGACGACGACAUGGGCCCUCUCUCAGGAGGUGGGGAGAGAAGAUGCAUUGGCAGUCAGCAAGUCUCACCCCUUGGGGUUGUUGUUGGUGCUGUGGAGUCAAUUAUAGCAGCCCCAUGUGACAGAGUAGAAUGGCCCCAUGGGGUUUUCUUGACUGUGAUCUUUACUGGAGCAGAUCAUCGGGUCUUUCUCCUGUGGAGCUGCUGGUGGGCUCGCUGCCAACAUUUCACUUAGCAGCCGAGCGCUUUACAUUGCACCACCAGGGCUCCCUUAUUUGGUCUUGUGGGCAUUCCCAAACCUUAUCUAAACUGUAGGCUCCUAGAGAAGCCAUGAUUUCACACCUCCUCUUUUAACUCCCUCCACCAUCUGGGGAAGGAACCCUGGGGGCACAAUUGUUAAGUGCUGGGCUGCUAACUGAAAAGUGGGUGCUUUGAACCCACCAGCUGCUCCACGAGAGAAAAGACCUGGCGAUCUGCUCUUGUAAAUAUUACAGCCUAGGAAACCUUAUGAGGCAGUUCUACUCUGGCCUAUAGGGUCGUUAUGAGUUGGAAUAAACUUGACAGCAAUGGGAAUAGGUUUCAGAAUUUUUAAAAGAUAUAGUAUGUAUUAAACAGAACCUGUUUGUGGGAUAUUUGACCCACAUGCUACCAGUGUGUGGCUGCUGGGUUAUAAUACGGUCUCAUCUUACCCAAAGGAGCUAUGACUCCACAGGGACAGGCCAGUGAUUGGUGAGGUGACUAUUUAUUUCAUUUAUUCUCACAUUCACACAGUCAUUCAGCAAAUGUCUAAUGAACUCCUACUCCGUACCCCCUGUGCCAGGCCCUGUGAUAAAUACUGUAGACACAAAAUUAACAAGACACCAUCCCUCCCUUGAAGGACUCACAGGUGUCUUUAUCACUGGAUAGAAAACAGUGUUAGAUUUAAAAAUAUAUAAGUUUUAGAGUUAAUUGCUGUAGUGUUAUAUUUUAAGAUAGGAAAAUUUCUUAACUCAAAAGAAUGACUUCCUAUGGGGGAAACUCUAGUCAGAAGGAAUAACAGAGUAGUGGACAGAGUCAGAAGCCCUGGUUGGAAUAUUCUUUCCAAGCUUUUCUACUCAGUAUGUGGGUGGCCUCAGGUAAGUGGCUUGUCCUGGCUGAGCCUCAGUCUCCACCUCUGUGAGAUGGGAUAAUGGUACCUAUCUUCUAAGGCUAUUGGGAAACAGGAGGGAGAAACAUGCAGGAAAGCCUAGCACAGUACCUGGUACACAGUAGAUGCACAGCAAACUUGCCCACCAACUGCCAAUGUAGUGAGCUGGGAUGGGGAGGCAGGGGAAGAUUACUAUGGGACAAAAAGUGUCUCAGCAUCUCUCUUAAUUCCCAACUAGCAUUCAGUGAUGUGACCUAGGGUGCUGAGGUCAUGGCGAUGAGAAAGUUCUGUGCCUGCCUCAAGGAAUCGCAGUCCAGGGGCAGCUAUCUUCUCACCCCCCUGGGUGUGAGGCUAUCUCUCUUCUCUCAAAGCAAGAGGAGAGUGGGAAGGAAUGCAUACACAUUCCAGUUACAGUGACAAACAGGUCCAUCUUGGUUGAUAUCAGCGAAGGAUAGAAGAACCAAUGGUAGAAGACUUGGAGUGACCCCAAGCACUGGGGCAGGGAGUGGGCGUGUUGAGACAGGCUCAGGCCUUGGAGAGGAGGAGAAGGCUUCAUUUUAGGCCCCUGUUCCCAAAGAUAAAGCUACCACUUGUGUGUGGUGUCCCUGGGGCUAGAGCACUUCUUCUUAUGUAACACUGUCUAGAAUAUUCUAACUCUGGGGGGUAGGAGGGCCAUGGUGAUGCAAACGAUUUGUGCUCUACUUACUAACCUAAAGUUGGUUGUUCAAAGCCAUCCAGUGGCACCAGGAAAGAGAGGCCUGGUGAUCUGCCUCCAUAAAGUUUACAGUCAAGAAAACACUAUAGGGCUCAGUUCUACUCUAUAACACAUGGGGUUGCCAUAAGUCAGGAUUGACUUGACAGCAACAGAUUUGUAGAGGUAGGUACCAUCAUUAGACCCACUUUACAGAUAAGGAAACUGAGGCCCAGAGAGGUGAUGCCAACUUGCCCAAGGCCGUGUGGCUGGCAAGGCAUGGCCUGGAGAUUCAAACCCAGGCCACAUUCUUUUCCACACCCGACAGCAUUGUCUGUGGAGGGAGGCUUCUACUGCAGGGCUCAGAAGACCUCAUUCCGGGGCCCCUGGUCCAGGAGGGAAGAAGGAAAACAGGCCAGCUAGGGCUCUGAAGGGCUCUGGCAAGAAAUGAAGUGUAUCUGUCUCAGGUCUGCAGCCCACCUAGGGAUAUGGGGCCCAUUCAUUCACUCAUUCAUUCAUGCAUGCAUUCAUGAAUUCAUUCAUGCAUUUAGUGCAGGUGGAUUCCCAACUUCACCAGUUACUGUCCGGGUGACCCUGGCAGUUCACUUUAGGGUUCUGAGCCUAAAUUUCUACUGUGGUCCAGGUACUACUCCAACUAUGUGAGGGUACAGAGUGAACUAGUCAGACACUGCUACCAGCCUCAUGGGCAGGUAGUUGGGGAGCUGACCUGGUCUGGAGGCUUUCUGGAAGAAACAAUGCUUGAGUGGAGGUGGACAGGGUGAGAAGUUGUUAACCAGGUUCUCAGGGGUGACCAGGUAGCGAUUUCCUUCUGGGAAGAGGCAGAAGUGGAUUUACCAGACUUGCUGUGAAGCUUAAGCUUCAGGGCUCCUCAUUUGCCAGCCACCUUCCAGUGACCUGGGAGGGCCCUCACGGUACACACCCAGGGUCACAUACUUCUGUCAAGUUUGCAAAAAUAAGACAUUUCAACUGCAAGUGGUGAAGAAUGUUGCCUCUGCCCACUCUGACUUCCUCUCUGUCAUACUUCCUCUCAUUUUGGGUGUUGCUGGGUGGUUGUGGGCAUUUUGGGGGAUAUUUUUCCACUAGCUAAGGGGAAAUUGUCGUGGACUACUGACGUUGAUGAAAAUAACAUAAAGCUGAAAAUACACCAUUGCAAAGAGGAUGUUGACAGCAAACUGAUUAAUUUGUUGUUGUUAGUUGCCAUCGAGUCAGCUCUGACUCAUGGUGACUUAUGUAUAGCAGAAUGAAACUGAUUAAUAAAAAACAACAAACUACUAUUCAAAUUACUUCAGAGCAUAGAAAAGGAAGGAAUACUCCCAAAUUCAUUCUAUGAAGCCAGCAUAACCCUGAUACCAAAGCCAAGACACCACACACACAAAAAAGAAAACCACAGAUCAAUAUCUUUCAUGAAUAUAGAUGCAAAAAUUCCCAACAAAAUUCUAGCCAAUAGAAUUCAGCAUCAUAUCAAAAUAAUAGUAAUAAUACACCAUGACUAAGUGAGAUUCAUACCAGGCAUGCAAGGAUGGCUCAACAUCAGGGAAUCAAUCAAUGUAAUCCAUCACAUAAAUAGAACAAAAGAAAAGAAUUACAUGGUUAUCUCAAUCGAUACAGAAAAGGCAUGUGAUAAAGUUCAACACCUACUCCUGAUAAAAACUCUCAGCGAGACAGGAAUAGAAGGGAAACUCCUCAGCAUGAUAAAGGGUGUCUACACAAAACCAUGGAAACCCUGGUGGUUAGUGGUUAAGAGCUAUGGCUGCUAACCAAAAGGUCAGCAAUUCAAAUCCACCAGGCACUCCUUGGAAACUGUAUGGGGCAGUUCUACUCUGUCCUAUUGGGUCACUACAAGUGGGAAUCAACUCGACAGCACCUCACAACAACAAUACAAACCCAACAGCCAACAUCAUUCUUAACAGAGAGAGUUGAAAGCAUUCCGCCUGAGAACAUGAACAAGACCUAAUGUAAAGUCUAAAAUGAUAAAGAUCAUGGAAGAAAAAAUAGGGACAAAGCUAGAGGCCCUAAUGUUGCUGUUAGGUGCUGUCGAGUUGUUUCUGACUCAUUGCAAUCCUAUGCACAACAGAACGAAAGACUGCCCUAAUACAUGGCAUAAAUACAAUACAGUACAGUACAAAUAUAACUGAUAUAACUAUAAACAUAACUAACAAUGCACAAAGACACCAGACUAUAAACUAGAUAACUGUGAGCUCCUAAAAAUUAAAAACUUAUGCUCGUCAGGAGACUUCCCCGCAAGAGUGGAAAGAGAACCGACAGACUGGGGAAAAAAACCUUUGGUUAUGACAUAUUCAACAAGGUCUAAUCUCUAAAACCUAUAGAUACUUCAACACCUCAACAACAAAAGCACAAAUAAUCCAAUUAACAAAUGGGCAAAGGAUAUGAACAGACACUUCACCAAAGAAGACAUUCAGGCAGCUAACAGACACAUGAGGAAAUGCUUUCGAUCAUUAACCAUUACAGAAAUGCAAAUCAAAACUACAAUGAGAUAUCAUCUCACUCCAACAUUACUGGCACAAAUAAAAAAAGCAGAAAAUAACAAAGUUGCAGAGGUUGCAGUGAGAUUGGAACUCUUAGCACUGCUGGUGGGAAUGUAAAAUGGUACAACCACUAUGGAAAACUCUGUGGUGCCUCCUUAAAAAGCUAUAAAUAGAAAUACCGUAUGAUCCAACAAUCCCACUCCUAGGAAUACAUCCUAGAGAAAUAAGAGAUGUCACAUGAAUAGACAUAUGCACACCCAUGUUCAUUGCAGCAUUAUUCAAUAGCAAAAAGAUGGAAACAACCUAAGUGCCCAUCAACAGAUAAAUGUAUAAACAAAUCAUGGUCAUACACACAACAGAAUACUACUCAAUGAUAAAGAACAAUGAUGAAUCCAAGAAACAUCUCAUAAAAUGGAUGGAUCUGGAGGGUAUUACGCUGAGGGAAAUAAGUCAAUCACAAAUGGGCAAAUAGUGUAUGAGACCACUAUUAUUUUUUUAAAAAAAACAACCCCAAGAAAAGGUUUACACACAGAAAAAAAAAAAAUUUUUUUUAUAGUUACAAGGGAGGGAAAAUAAUUAGCUAGAUAGUAGACAAGUUAACUCUGGUGAAGGGAAAGACAACACACAAUAUAGGGGAAGGCAGCACAACUUGACCAAGACAGUCAUAAAAGCUUCCUAGACACAUCCAAACACCUUAAGGGAUCAAGCUACUGGGGCUGAGGGCUGGAGACUGUGGGCCUGGGGGAUAUCUAGGUCAAUUGGCAUAAUAUAGUUCAUAAAGAAAAUGUUCUACAUCCUACUUUGGUAGUAGGGCCUGGGGUCUUAAAAGCCUGCAAGCAGCCAUCUAAGAUACAGCUAUUGGUUUCAUCCCAUCUGGAGAAAGGAAGAAUGAAGAAAACCAAAGACACAAGGAAAAUACUAGUCCAAAGGACCAAUGGACCACAUGAACCACAGCCUCCACCAGGCUGAGACCAGAAGAACUAGAUGAUGCCUGGCUACCACCACCGACUGCUCUGUGAUGGAGGGUCCCCUACAGAGCAAGACAUUCAUUGUAAGGUAUGAACAAAUCUGUCUUGGAAGAAGUAUAGCCAGAAUGCUCCUUAGAGAUGAGUAUGGUGAGACUUUGUCUCACAUACUUCGUACAUGUCAUCAGAAAGUAUCAGUCUCUGGAGAAGGACACCAAAAGUAGAGGGUGAGUGAAAAAGAAGAAAACCCUCAAUGAGAUGGAUUGACACAGUGGCUGCAACAAUGGGCUCAAGCAUAACAACAAUCAUGAGGAUGGCACAGUACCACGCAGUGUUUCGUUCUGUUGUACACGGGGUCAUUAUGAGCUGAAACUGACAUAACAGUACCAAACAACAGCAACAGAAAAGGAGAAAAAUGUAGAACAAAAUUCAAAUUCUAAAAAAAAGACGAAACUUACUUGUCUGACAGAGAUUAGAGGAACCCCUGAGACUAUGGCCCCCAGACACCCUGCUAACUCAGAACCGAAGCCACUCCCAAAGUCCACCUUUCAGCCAAAGAUUAGACAAGCCUAUAAAACAAACAGUAAUGCACAGGAGAAACGCGCAACACCUGCCCAAAAGCAAAGAUGAGAAGGCAGGAAGGGACAGGAAAACUGGACGAAUGGACAUGGAGAACCCGGGGUGGAGAGGGAAAGGGGGAGAACGCUGACACAUUGCAGGGAUUGCAACCAAUGUGACAAAACAAUUUGUAUAUAAAUUUUUGAAUGGAAAACUAAUUUGUGCUGUAAAUUUUCAUCUAAAACAUAACAAAACUAAACAAAAACAAUGACAAACCAAACUCGUUGCUGUCGAGUCAAUUCAGACUCGUAACGACCCUAUGUAGGACAGAAUAGAAUGCCCUACAGGGUUGCCAAUACUGUAGAUCUGUACGGAAGCAGACUGCCAAGUCUUUCUCCUGUAGAGCAGCUAGUGGGUUUGAACCACAAACCUUUCUGUUAGCAGCUGAUCGCCUAACCACUCCACCACCAGGGGUCCCCUGGUUAACAACCCGUUGCUGUCCAGUUGAUUCCGACUCAUAGCGACCCUAUAGGAUGGAGUAGGAACUGCCCCAUAGGGUUUCCAGGGAGUGGGUGGUGGAUUUGAACUACUGACUUUUUGGUUAGCAGCCGUAGUUCUUAACGACUGCGCCACCAGGGCUCCCCAACUGGCUGAUACACCACCACACCAUGUUAAUUCAAAGAAUUUUUAGGAUUAGUAAUCACGAAGUCAGGAAAUGCUGUGAAAUCUUACAGUUCCUAUGUGAAAGAAACUUGGUAGAGAUUUUUCUAAAUUUGACAAUAAUCCUAAAAUUCUAUGACACUCACACCUUUGAAUUGUGGUGUUGGCGAAGAAUAUUUAAUAUACCACGGACUGCCAAAAGAAUGAACAAAUCUGUCUCGGAAGAAGUACAAUCAGAAUGCUCCUUAGAAGCAAGGAUGGCGAGACUGCGUCUUAUAUACUUUGGACAUGUUGUCAGGAGGAAUCAGUCACUGAAGAAGGAAUGGAAGGAAGGGCUGGGUACAUAGAGAGGACAGGGAAGAGGAGGAGGGAAGGGUGUCGCCCAUAAUCUUGACUUGACCUCUCACCGUCUGUGUGUCCAAAGAACAGAGGAAAUCUUGAGGCCAGGGCCAAAGAAAGCACCUGAUAAGUUACAUCCCUCAGCCUCUUACUGGUGCUGAAGUCCUCUCCCUGACAGCUGCCCACUGAGUCUUGGCUUUACAUACCUCAUGGGAUGGAGAGUUCACCUCCUACCCCAUAUUCUGUGCUAUCAUAUGUCAAAACUCUAGUUGCGGGAAGUUCUUCCAUCUAGCUGAUCACUAACUGUCUGUAGUUCCCCCUGGGUCCUGAUGUGCCCUAGGGGCUCCAUAAAUAGUUGACUUCUUUUUCCCAUCUCAUUAUAGCUCUGUAGAGACUUAAAGCAAGCUUAAGUUUUGUCCUUGCCCAACUUUUCUUCUUCAGGAGACACAAUUUUUUCUUCCUUCAGAGUCCUCUCAUGACUUGGCUCCCAAAGCCUUCCUCAUUUAUUACCUCUCAAAGAUUUCUCAACUACCCAUGGACAUAUUAUAAUAAUAAUAGCUAACAAGCAUUAAGUGUUUACUAUGUACUAGGCACUUUGCUAAGGAGCCUUGGUGGCAAAUGUUUAAGUGCCUUAAUGCUAACUGAAAGGUCGGAGGUUCAAACCCAUCAGUGGCUCCUCCAGAGAAAAGAACUGGCAAUCUUCUCCUGUAAAAAUUGCAGCCUAAGAAAUCCUAUGGGGCAGUUCUACCCUGUCCUAUAGGCCUCUUGCUGUCAGUUCUAAUCCAGCAGGAAGCUGGGCCCCCAGCUCUCAAUGCCAUUAUAAUAACAACCAUUCACAUCUGCUAUGCCCUGCAUGGUUCACUUCACCCUGGGCCUCAUGGGACCUCACAAGGGCUUACAAGGAAGGGGAAGGGAGGGAGUGGAGAGAAAGAGACUUGGCAGUUGAGCACCUUCAUUUUGCAGAUGAGUAGACCAGGGUCCAGAGAAGGGACAGUUUAAAUGUCUGCCUCCCCCACCAGACUCUGAACUCCUUGAGAUGAAGGACUGGGUCUUGACUUUUUAUUCAUUCA